This 440-nucleotide ribosomal RNA is filed under the name Flavobacterium glycines. RNAcentral describes it as "bacterial SSU rRNA". It matches the Rfam family "Bacterial small subunit ribosomal RNA", at positions 338 to 775 of the family's 1533-position model. Lineage: Bacteria; Pseudomonadati; Bacteroidota; Flavobacteriia; Flavobacteriales; Flavobacteriaceae. The record is from RNAcentral.
CCUACGGGAGGCAGCAGUGAGGAAUAUUGGUCAAUGGACGCAAGUCUGAACCAGCCAUGCCGCGUGCAGGAUGACGGUCCUAUGGAUUGUAAACUGCUUUUGUACGAGAAGAAACACUCCUUCGUGAAGGAGCUUGACGGUAUCGUAAGAAUAAGGAUCGGCUAACUCCGUGCCAGCAGCCGCGGUAAUACGGAGGAUCCAAGCGUUAUCCGGAAUCAUUGGGUUUAAAGGGUCCGUAGGCGGUUUAGUAAGUCAGUGGUGAAAGCCCAUCGCUCAACGGUGGAACGGCCAUUGAUACUGCUAGACUUGAAUUAUUAGGAAGUAACUAGAAUAUGUAGUGUAGCGGUGAAAUGCUUAGAGAUUACAUGGAAUACCAAUUGCGAAGGCAGGUUACUACUAAUGGAUUGACGCUGAUGGACGAAAGCGUGGGGAGCGAACAG